This is an RNA transcript of Sorex araneus (European shrew), 6546 nucleotides long. It is a transcript of the gene named ELKS/RAB6-interacting/CAST family member 2, with no coding region annotated. The transcript is spliced from 20 exons. Lineage: Eukaryota; Metazoa; Chordata; Mammalia; Eulipotyphla; Soricidae. The record is from RefSeq and is a predicted model, not a curated record.
GAGCCUCCUCCUCCUCCUCCUCCUCCUCCUCUCCUCCACCUCCUCCUCCUCCUCCUCCCUAGCUGCCCGGCUCCUCCGCCUCCUCCGCCUCCUCCUCCUCCUCCCGCUCCGGCUCGCUCGGGCUCCGGCGCCGGCGCCGGCUCCGGCUCCUCCCGGCCGCCCGCCCGGGGCCAAGGCGACGUGAGGUUGUAAAAAUCCAUGUGGGACGGCCCCGGGGCGAGCAUCGCAAAGAUUUUUGGUUGGUGUAAUUUUCUGGUAUAUACUUAAGAAAACAUAGUGAAAAUUUUGGCCAGCAGUGGAUCAGCCAACACUGGAAAUACUGAGUGAAUCUCCAACUGAAUAUAUAAUUUCUUCUCUUUGAUAGUACCUCAUAAAACAAGAAAGAUGUAUGGAAGUGCAAGAACCAUCACGAAUCUGGAAGGGAGCCCUUCCAGAUCUCCUCGUUUGCCAAGGUCUCCUCGUUUGGGUCACCGACGAACAAGUAGUGGGGGAGGGGGAGGAACAGGCAAGACUCUGUCCAUGGAAAACAUCCAGUCCCUUAAUGCAGCCUACGCUACAUCUGGACCCAUGUACCUGAGUGAUCAUGAGGGGGUGGCUUCAACAACUUACCCAAAAGGCACCAUGACUCUGGGCAGGGCGACAAAUCGAGCAGUAUAUGGAGGCCGAGUGACAGCCAUGGGGAGUAGUCCUAAUAUUGCAUCAGCUGGACUUUCCCAUACAGAUGUUCUUUCAUACACGGACCAACAUGGGGGUCUGACCAGUUCAUCCCAUCAUCACCACCACCAGGUGCCCUCCAUGUUGAGGCAGGUAAGAGAUAGCACGAUGCUAGACCUUCAAGCCCAGCUCAAGGAACUGCAGAGAGAGAACGACCUCCUUCGGAAAGAGUUAGACAUCAAGGAUAGCAAGUUGGGAUCUUCCAUGAACAGCAUCAAGACUUUCUGGAGUCCCGAGCUCAAGAAGGAGAGAGUCUUGAGGAAAGAAGAAGCAGCCCGAAUGUCUGUCCUCAAGGAGCAGAUGAGGGUUUCCCAUGAAGAAAAUCAGUUACUGGAUGCCAGAAGAACCAAGCACCUUCAGUUGACGAUCCAGGCCCUCCAGGAUGAGCUGCGAACCCAGAGAGACCUCAACCACCUCCUGCAGCAAGAGAGCGGGAACCGGGGAGCCGAGCACUUCACCAUUGAGCUCACCGAGGAGAACUUCCGGAGGCUCCAGGCUGAGCAUGACAGACAGGCCAAAGAGCUCUUCCUGCUGAGGAAGACUCUGGAGGAAAUGGAGCUGAGAAUAGAAACCCAGAAACAGACCCUCAAUGCCAGAGAUGAGUCGAUUAAAAAGCUUCUCGAGAUGUUACAAAGCAAAGGGUUGCCGUCCAAAAGCCUGGAGGAUGACAGCGAGCGUACACGGCGGAUGGCAGAAGCCGAGUCUCAGGUCAGCCACUUAGAAGUGAUUUUAGAUCAGAAGGAGAAGGAAAACAUACAUCUCAGAGAGGAAUUGCACCGAAGAAGCCAACUUCAGCCGGAGCCAGCCAAGACGAAGGCUCUCCAGACUGUCAUAGAAAUGAAGGAUACAAAAAUUGCUUCAUUGGAGCGAAACAUAAGGGAUCUCGAGGAUGAGAUCCAGAUGUUAAAAGCCAAUGGUGUGCUAAACACUGAGGACCGAGAAGAAGAGAUCAAACAAAUAGAGGUUUACAAAAGUCACUCCAAGUUCAUGAAAACCAAGAUUGAUCAGCUGAAGCAGGAACUUUCAAAGAAGGAGUCAGAACUUCUUGCCUUACAAACAAAGCUUGAAACUCUUAGCAAUCAGAAUUCAGAUUGCAAGCAACACAUUGAAGUGCUUAAAGAGUCACUUACUGCCAAAGAACAGAGGGCUGCCAUCCUUCAGACGGAGGUAGAUGCAUUGAGAUUACGACUGGAAGAGAAAGAAUCUUUUCUCAACAAAAAAACCAAGCAGCUACAGGACCUCACAGAAGAGAAGGGAACACUGGCUGGAGAGAUUCGAGAUAUGAAAGAUAUGUUAGAAGUGAAGGAGAGAAAAAUCAAUGUUCUUCAGAAAAAGAUUGAAAACUUGCAAGAACAGCUUAGGGACAAAGACAAGCAACUGACCAAUCUGAAGGACAGAGUGAAGAGUUUGCAGACAGAUUCCAGUAACACCGACACUGCACUGGCGACUCUGGAGGAGGCGCUGUCUGAGAAGGAGAGAAUAAUUGAGCGUUUGAAAGAACAGCGAGAGAGAGAUGACCGGGAAAGGCUAGAAGAGAUAGAAUCCUUCCGAAAAGAGAACAAAGACCUUAAAGAAAAGGUCAAUGCUUUACAAGCUGAACUGACUGAGAAAGAGUCUAGUUUAAUUGACCUCAAAGAACAUGCAUCUUCAUUAGCCUCUGCAGGGCUGAAAAGGGACUCCAAAUUAAAAUCUCUAGAAAUAGCCAUCGAACAAAAGAAAGAAGAAUGUAGCAAAUUGGAAGCACAGUUAAAAAAGCAAGCUGAGCAGUUGUUCAAUCAGAUGUACAAUCCAGCUCAUAAUAUUGAGGAUGACUCCAGGAUGAAUCCCGAGUUUGCAGACCGAAUAAAACAGCUCGAUAAAGAAGCAUCUUACUACCGUGAUGAGUGUGGCAAGGCCCAAGCAGAAGUCGACAGGUUGCUAGAGAUCCUCAAGGAGGUGGAGAAUGAAAAGAAUGACAAGGACAAGAAGAUUGCAGAACUUGAGAGGCAUAUGAAAGAUCAGAAUAAGAAGGUGGCCAACCUCAAGCACAACCAACAGUUAGAAAAGAAGAAGAAUGCACAGUUAUUGGAAGAAGUUCGCAGGCGAGAAGAUAGCAUGGCUGACAACUCACAGCACUUGCAGAUAGAGGAGCUGAUGAAUGCACUGGAGAAGACCAGACAGGAACUGGACGCCACUAAAGCACGCCUCGCCUCCACACAACAGUCUCUGGCUGAAAAAGAAGCACAUUUGGCCAACCUCCGGAUAGAAAGAAGGAAACAGCUGGAAGAGAUCUUGGAGAUGAAACAGGAAGCUCUACUUGCGGCAAUCAGUGAAAAAGAUGCAAACAUUGCCUUGUUGGAAUUGUCUGCCUCCAAAAAGAAAAAGACACAGGAUGAAGUCAUGGCCCUCAAGCGGGAAAAAGAUCGUCUAGUGCAUCAGUUAAAACAGCAGACCCAGAACAGAAUGAAGCUGAUGGCAGACAACUACGAUGAGGACCACCAUCACUACCACCACCACCACCAUCACCACCACCACCGAUCUCCUGGGAGGUCGCAGCAUUCCAAUCUUAGGCCCUCUCCUGACCAGGAUGACGAUGAGGGCAUAUGGGCAUAGCCUGGCCUGUAAACCAAAGUUCCAGUUUUGUUUUGAGGGAUGAUCCAGCUCUGUCGGAGGCACGGAGGCACAGUCAAAUCUCAUGCUGUACAUUGAUCACCUGUCCAACCUUUGCCUAGAGUGGGAGCCCCCAGUUCCUUCAAGAGAUCCAACUUUACCUGUCUGUAAAGAAGAAGAGGAGGAGGGAGACAGCAGGGAGGAUCCAGUGGCAGUUUAACAUCAGAGCAGGUCCAAUGUUUACUUUUACCCUUUUGGAGCUAUCAGAAGGGCUGAAUAAAGAGAAAAUGCAGCUCUGCAGCAAUAUUCUGAUAAUCUAUUGCAGUGCGGCUCACAUCACUGUCCAUCACCACAUGGAAUGGCUCAUCAGGACUGAAGAGGAGUUUUCACUUUCAUUACUGAGCAUGUUUCGUUUCGACUUGAUAUUUCCUUCAUCACCUCAUCUCGUUUCUCAUGGAUUCAGAUAUAUGGAAAGGAAGAAUGUGGAGGAGGAGAAAAAUGGCAGCUCCUCUAUUGUUGGUAUUUGCUUAUUCAAUAUGUGACCAUCUCUUCUGAAUGUCAUUAGUUGAUUACAUUUUAAUUAUUUCACUUAAACUUCAUUGGAUAACUUUAAACUCCAUGGAAUUUUAACUGUGGAUUUAGCUUUGGUUAGACAACUAGCUUUAUCUGCAGUUUUUUCUGCUGGUUCAGUCUAAAUGGUCAUUCCUAAUGCAUUAAAUUAUCAAAAAAGUAUAAAUUCUCUGUGAGUGAGUGGUGUUGGCAGUGUUUGUAUACCAAGAUGCAUGGAGUGUUUGACAAGGAAACCAAAACACCAAAAAUGGCGAGCCUUUACCCUCCUCUGUUUCUUUAAUCUGAUGUUCAAAGAAGCACGUCUUGAUGGUGUAACCAGUAGUUACCUCUGGGCCAGGUUGGAAAUGAAAUCAAUUUUUUAAACCACUAAUACUUGCCAAGAAAUCGCCUUAUGAGAACAUGGUGUGUGUCUCUGACAAUGCAUGGCACAUCUAAAUUGAUCACUCAUAAUUUUAUCUAACCUGUCUAUGUAUUGGAGAGUGGCAAAAGCCUGAGGCACCAGCAUAGUUAUAUUCUGUGUGUUUCAUACAUCCCACAGCAAGGAUGUGGCCAAGCCUCAGACUCUUCCCAUUCCCAUACGUGCAGGUCUCCAUGAAGAAGCUGGGACUCAUUUUCAUUUCAAGAUCCAAAUGCUGUACAAAUAGUGUAAGCUUAGGGCUUCUGUAAAUGAUGGUUCAUUUUUUUUAAAGUCUCUAACAUGGAUUCCAAAACAUUUUCUGCAUUAAACAUGAAAACAUUGAUGAAUGGGGAAUAAUCACGAAGCUGUGUAUCUGUAUAUAGCUCUACACAACAAAUUUGUGAGUAUAGAGUCAUUAUUUAAAGCACAUGCCAGGGAAAGAGACCAAAUUUUGAGGUCUUUUAUAUUCAGUGACAUGGUACUAAGGAGAAUUAAACUCCUACUAUUUCCUCUGAAGAUAAAACAAAUAAACUCAAGUUGUUAUAACUUCAUAAAACUCAUGAUCAAGUCUGCAAACAUGUGCAAUUCUAGUAUUGAUCCAUUUUCUUGUCAAAGGAAGAAACCCUUCCACGUGUAUGCAAUUAGGAGAUGAAAAUUUGCAUUUUAAAGGACAAGUGAAUUUAAGCAUGAGUGGCCUUAAUAAAUAUAGUUGUCUUUCUUUGCUGCUGUGGAAAGGAUUCUAAGCAUAUGUUCCCAAAGUCUUGCAUUGAAUUUAGUCAUUAUUAUUACUUUUUAAGAUGUUGGUGCAAUGAAAUCUGAACCUCUCUCAUGAGCCAUAGAGAUAUUAAAAAGACAGACAUCCUAUUUGUUGGGGAAGAUAAAACUGACUCUGAUUGGCAAUGUUUAUUAUUGGUACAUUCAGAAUAAUGUAUUAAAGCAUAAUUCUUGCUUUUGGCUUUGUCCUUGUUGUCAGUAAGUAUAGCAGACUAUGUAAAGUUUACUUGUUGCAUAAACAAUCCAAAUACAUUCUUAUUUUUAAAAGUUGUCUUUUAACUAUCAAUGUAAUAAAGGUCUUGAUUGGAAGACAUGAGCAAAGUUAUUUGUAAGCAUAUUUAGCACAUUUGACUUAAUAUCACAAACAAAUAAAUAACCCAGGCCACAAACUCAUCCCCUUGAACAUUCUGGGUGUCCUCAAAGAGGUGGUCCUCAAUGCCUCCUACACCAGGUCCUAACCUGACUCUGCAACUCUGAAUACUUGAAGUAAAAAGUAGGAAAUCCACUAGGGAGGGAAUGUAGAGUCCUCAAAACAGAAAAAGCAACCAAUCAUGUAUAGAUAGGUAUUUAUAAGUAUGUGCCAAUUUUGUUACAGCUAUUAGUUGGGGGGGAAUCUUUCCCCAAUUUUGUUGGUUUAAACUAUUAUUAAUUUUACCUUUAUGGGGACAUAUUCUUUAGUUCCUUUAAAAACAAAUUCUGCCUCCUGUCUUUCCCAUUUUUUUGUAAAAAAGGAAAAAAUGAUGUUGGGUAUGAUCCCAACACCAUUUCUCUGAUGUUGGGGUAUGAUCCCCUGAAUCCCUUUUAACAUAUUAAAAUAGUCUCUGGGUUUACAACAAACACUGUGAUGUUGGGAAGAUAUUUCCUCUGCGCAAAUGUUAGCAGGUUCCCCUCGAAUCAGAAAGAAAUUGAAGAUAAAAAGUUGAGGCUAACAUUUAAGAGAAGUUGGUCUUCUUGCUUUGUGCAAAAGCAGGCUGUACUUUAUACACCAUUUUAUUUGUAUGUAUAGUCUCGAUUUUGUAUUUAAUGAUUUUUGUGUAUUCAGUGUGCACGUUAACAGCGUGUCAACUUUCUCUUGGAAGUGGGUUUCACUUUACUUUUUAAACAGUGUUUAUGAUGCGACCUCAAAUGUGUUGACAUAAGCUCUAUCUGAGAUGUUUUUGUGUAGAGUGGCAUUUGAAUUCUGCCAGGGGUCAGUGUAUCUAAUUCCCCAAGACCCUAGUUUGAUAGUGCUUCUUGUAAUAUUUCUUUCAGUGAGUGGCAUGUGGGUUGUGAUAUUGACCGUGUGAUUAUGGACUUCGAUAUGAAAAAAAUUUUCAAUUAAGGAACCCUCAGAAACUACUAGUGGGCAUGUAUUAGCCAGUCAUUGUAACCUUGUGUCUAGUAGAAGUACAAUGUACAAGGUAUGUACAGUUCAUAAAUUUGUUCUCAUGUGUAUGAGAAGUACUUUGUGCUGAUCGCCUUAUUUAUAUUCAUCAAAUAAACUUUGUUUCUUUCUGAUGUGA